This 427-nucleotide ribosomal RNA is filed under the name uncultured bacterium. RNAcentral's name for it is "bacterial SSU rRNA". It matches the Rfam family "Bacterial small subunit ribosomal RNA", at positions 917 to 1341 of the family's 1533-position model. The record is from RNAcentral.
GGGCCCGCACAAGCGGUGGAGCAUGUGGUUUAAUUCGAUGAUAAGCGAGGAACCUUACCUGGAUUCAAUUCAAUCUGACAGACUUAGAGAUAGGUUUUUCUUCGGGACAGAUUGGAAGGUGCUGCAUGGUUGUCGUCAGCUCGUGCCGUGAGGUGUUGGGUUAAGUCCCGCAACGAGCGCAACCCUUACCUUUAGUUGCCAGCACAUUAUGGUGGGAACUCUAGAGGAACUGCCUUCGUAAGGAGGAGGAAGGUGGGGAUGACGUCAAAUCAUCAUGGCCCUUACGUCCAGGGCCUACACACGUACUACAAUGGUCGGUACAAAGGGUUGCAACAUAGCGAUAUGGAAGCCCAAAUCCCCUAAAAAGCCGAUCUCAGUUCGGAUCGGAGUCUGCAACUCGACUCCGUGAAGCUGGAAUCGCUAGUAA